ACCUACGGGGCGCAGCAGUAGGGAAUCUUCCACAAUGGGCGAAAGCCUGAUGGAGCAACGCCGCGUGGGUGAAGAAGGUCUUCGGAUCGUAAAACCCUGUUGUUAGAGAAGAAAGUGCGUGAGAGUAGCUGUUCACGUUUCGACGGUAUCUAACCAGAAAGCCACGGCUAACUACGUGCCAGCAGCCGCGGUAAUACGUAGGUGGCAAGCGUUAUCCGGAUUUAUUGGGCGUAAAGAGAACGCAGGCGGUCUUUUAAGUCUGAUGUGAAAGCCUUCGGCUUAACCGGAGUGGUGCAUUGGAAACU
This 305-nucleotide ribosomal RNA is filed under the name uncultured bacterium. RNAcentral's name for it is "bacterial SSU rRNA". It matches the Rfam family "Bacterial small subunit ribosomal RNA", at positions 337 to 634 of the family's 1533-position model. The record is from RNAcentral.